Molecule: long non-coding RNA, 727 nt
Filed under: Homo sapiens (human)
Lineage: Eukaryota; Metazoa; Chordata; Mammalia; Primates; Hominidae
Description: HSALNT0059060
Source: RNAcentral
CGCCCCUCCCCCAGCCUCGCUGCCGCCUUGCAGUUUGAUCUCAGACUGCCCUGCUAGCAAUCAGCGAGACUCCGUGGACGUAGGACCCUCCGAGCCAGGUGCAGGAUAUGAUCUCCUGGUGCGCCGCUUUUUUAAGCCCGUCGGAAAAGCGCAGUAUUCGGGUGGGAGGGACCGGAUUUUCCAGGUGCCGUCUAUCACCCCUUUCUUUGACUAGGAAAGGGAACUCCCUGACCCCUUGCACUUCCUGAGUGAGGCAAUGCCUUGCCCUGCUUCGGCUCCCGCUAGGUGCGCUGCACCCACUGACCUGCGCCCACUGUCUGGCACUCCCUAGUGAGAUGAACCCAGUACCUCAGAUGGAAAUGCAGAAAUCACCCGUCUUCUGCGUCGCUCACGCUGGGAGCUGUAGACCGGAGCUGUUCCUAUUCGGCCAUCUUGGCUCCUCCCGACAUUCGAUGUUUCACCAUCAAGUAUGACAUUAGCUGUGAGUGUUUCAUCGAUGUCCUUUAUCAAGUUAAAGAAGUUCUCUUCUAUUCCUAGUUUAAGUGUUUUUAUCAUGCAAAGUUGUUGGAUUUUGACACAUGCUUUUUCAUUGUCUGUCAAGAUAAUAACAUGGUUUUUGUCCAUUAUUUGAUUCAUGUGCUGUAUUGAUUGCUUUUUAUAUGUGGAAGCAACUUUUCUUCUGGGGUAAACCCAUAUUGUGGUGUAUAAUCCUAUUUACAUGUUGUUG